GAUGGAGGGACGGAGAAGGCUAGGCCAGCUUGGCGUUGGUUGUCCAAGUUUAAGGUGGUAGGCUGAAAUCUUAGGUAAAUCCGGGGUUUCAAGGCCGAGAGCUGAUGACGAGUCGUCUUUUAGAUGACGAAGUGGUUGAUGCCAUGCUUCCAAGAAAAGCUUCUAAGCUUCAGGUAACCAGGAACCGUACCCCAAACCGACACAGGUGGUCGGGUAGAGAAUACCAAGGCGCUUGAGAGAACUCGGGUGAAGGAACUAGGCAAAAUGGCACCGUAACUUCGGGAGAAGGUGCGCCGGCUAGGGUGAAGGAUUUACUCCGUAAGCUCUGGCUGGUCGAAGAUACCAGGCCGCUGCGACUGUUUAUUAAAAACACAGCACUCUGCAAACACGAAAGUGGACGUAUAGGGUGUGACGCCUCCCCGGUGCCGGAAGGUUAAUUGAUGGGGUUAGCGCAAGCGAAGCUCUUGAUCGAAGCCCCGGUAAACGGCGGCCGUAACAAUAACGGUCCUAAGGUAGCGAAAUUCCUUGUCGGGUAAGUUCCGACCUGCACGAAUGGCGUAACGAUGGCGGCGCUGUCUCCACCCGAGACUCAGUGAAAUUGAAAUCGCUGUGAAGAUGCAGUGUAUCCGCGGCUAGACGGAAAGACCCCGUGAACCUUUACUGUAGCUUUGCACUGGACUUUGAGCCUGCUUGUGUAGGAUAGGUGGGAGGCUUUGAAGCGUGGACGCCAGUUCGCGUGGAGCCAUCCUUGAAAUACCACCCUGGCAUGCUUGAGGUUCUAACUCUGGUCCGUAAUCCGGAUCGAGGACAGUGUAUGGUGGGCAGUUUGACUGGGGCGGUCUCCUCCUAAAGAGUAACGGAGGAGUACGAAGGUGCGCUCAGACCGGUCGGAAAUCGGUCGCAGAGUAUAAAGGCAAAAGCGCGCUUGACUGCGAGACAGACGCGUCGAGCAGGUACGUAAGUAGGUCUUAGUGAUCCGGUGGUUCUGUAUGGAAGGGCCAUCGCUCAACGGAUAAAAGGUACUCCGGGGAUAACAGGCUGAUACCGCCCAAGAGUUCAUAUCGACGGCGGUGUUUGGCACCUCGAUGUCGGUUCAUCACAUCCUGGGGCUGAAGCCGGUCCCAAGGGUAUGGCUGUUCGCCAUUUAAAGUGGUACGCGAGCUGGGUUUAGAACGUCGUGAGACAGUUCGGUCCCUAACUGCCGUGGACGUUUGAGAUUUGAGAGGGGCUGCUCCUAGUACGAGAGGACCGGAGUGGACGAACCUCUGGUGUUCCGGUUGUCACGCCAGUGGCAUUGCCGGGUAGCUAUGUUCGGAAAAGAUAACCGCUGAAAGCAUCUAAGCGGGAAACUUGCCUCAAGAUGAGAUCUCACUGGGAACUUGAUUCCCCUGAAGGGCCGUCGAAGACUACGACGUUGAUAGGCUGGGUGUGUAAGCGUUGUGAGGCGUUGAGCUAACCAGUACUAAUUGCCCGUGAGGCUUGACU
This 1485-nucleotide ribosomal RNA is filed under the name metagenome. RNAcentral describes it as "bacterial LSU rRNA". It matches the Rfam family "Bacterial large subunit ribosomal RNA", at positions 1463 to 2925 of the family's 2925-position model. The record is from RNAcentral.